CAUAGUAACAUGCCUGAUAAUAAUGCUGAGUGCACCAAGAGGGGUAACAAGAAUGGCUGGGGCAAAUGCAAAAAUUUGCAAUUUCUCCAACAAUCACUGUCACAAUAGCAAACAAAACACAAAAUCAGUAGUGGGAAAGAACCUUUAAUCAAAGAUUAACUGUCUAUGCCUAACACAUUUAAUUGUCUUACAGGAAUACUUACAUUUUCCUCCCUUGUUACUGUAGAUAAUUAGACAAGCCUCCAGUGGUUUGAGAAUUACAGUCCUCCCUUGUUAUUAUCUCUGGCUAACUAUCAGCCUCCUGUUAGUCAGAGUGGACAUUUUUAAGCUGUGAAAUUCUACAAAAACGCAUCAAAGAAAGUGCAAUUCAGCAAUACAUUAUACACGCCACAUUCUCCUGUCAGAUUUCACGUGUUUUCUUUUCACCCCAAAACUCAAAAGCCUUUUCUUUGCUACGCCGUUGCUGCUGUCGCCGACCAGACGUCGCAGCGGCCGCGCCACCCACCAGACGUCGACGAGCUCUCCUUCUUUGCUGACAGUCCGCGCUCGCUUUUUGCCAAUUUUCAGCAUUGCACCAGAAUCUCAGUUUGCAUGACAAUCAAGAUCCUUAAGUCAUGCUGUUAUACAAACAUGAACAUUCUUGAAAUUGGAAGACAUGGCUCCAGUCCUCCACUUCCCCACCACCGUGCGU
Non-coding RNA from Sesamum indicum (sesame), 691 nucleotides. NCBI's taxonomy places the organism in Eukaryota, Viridiplantae, Streptophyta, Magnoliopsida, Lamiales, Pedaliaceae. The record is from RefSeq and is a predicted model, not a curated record.